AAGGCCCUACGGACGCAGCAGUAGGGAAUCUUCCACAAUGGGCGAAAGCCUGAUGGAGCAACGCCGCGUGGGUGAAGAAGGUCUUCGGAUCGUAAAACCCUGUUGUUAGAGAAGAAAGUGCGUGAGAGUAACUGUUCACGUUUCGACGGUAUCUAACCAGAAAGCCACGGCUAACUACGUGCCAGCAGCCGCGGUAAUACGUAGGUGGCAAGCGUUAUCCGGAUUUAUUGGGCGUAAAGAGAACGCAGGCGGUCUUUUAAGUCUGAUGUGAAAGCCUUCGGCUUAACUGGAGUAGUGCAUUGGAA
This 305-nucleotide ribosomal RNA is filed under the name uncultured bacterium. Its description in RNAcentral is "bacterial SSU rRNA". It matches the Rfam family "Bacterial small subunit ribosomal RNA", at positions 333 to 631 of the family's 1533-position model. The record is from RNAcentral.